Long non-coding RNA from Haliotis rubra (blacklip abalone), 1291 nucleotides. RefSeq lists it as uncharacterized. Lineage: Eukaryota; Metazoa; Mollusca; Gastropoda; Lepetellida; Haliotidae. The record is from RefSeq and is a predicted model, not a curated record. The transcript is spliced from 4 exons.
GAAAGAAUAAUGUUUUAUCUAUACUUCAGCUUGAUUCCUUCGUGAAUAACUCUGCGGCAUUCAGUGGUGUCACGAAAGGGUACUUCGCACAGAAUACCUACGAAGGAAGAAACACGCCUUAUAUUGAGAUCACAGGGGGUUCCAGCAGCAACAAGAAGCGAAUCUUCAUAGAAGCCGGCAUACACGCCCGGGAGUGGGUCUCACCUGCAUAAGCCAUGUAUUUCAUCGACAGGAUGCUGCACAGGCGGGACGUCGUUGACGAGGCAAGCUUCCUGUACAACAACUUCGACUGGUACAUCGUCCCCGUGACUAACCCAGAUGGGUACGAAUACAGUCACACUUCUAUGUCAUACAUGGCGGGUCACGUCACUGGGCACGAUUUACCGAGGACAUCCCUUACGCCAUAACAUUUGAACUCCGACCUAGCAGUGGCGGCCUUGAGGGGUUCGUCCUCCCGACAGCUCAGAUCGCACCUUGCAGUAAAGAAAUCGGGGACGCCAUGUACGCCAUUGCUGGCAAUUUUUAGACGCUGGUGGCUUCACGGAGCACAGAGACUUUGUAGACGUAAACAAACUCGUAGGACCCAUGAUGUUAGACCGAUAAUUGAUUUAACGCUUCAUAAAUUACACGGGUUAGAAUUGGUCUCCAGCAACCCAUGCUUGUCAUAAGUGGUGACAAACGGAAUCGGUUAGUCUGUUUAACAAAGCCUGAACCGCAUUAUGUUCCCUUCCGCCCAGCCCUUUCUGGAAUGCUAAAUUCCUAAAUGAAACAAGUCUAGCUUUCCUUAGGUUCUGAAUCUCUCAUCUCACUUCAGAUCCUUUUGAAUUUAAAUGGACUUAUUGGUUUCUGUCACAACUAUACAUUCAGAGACUAAACGUUGGUGUUGGGAUGGGUGGUCAGGCUCACUGGCUGUCAUUAUGCCCUGGUUACAUAGAUCGAUGCUCAUCAUUUCAAUCACUGGAUUGUCUGGACCAAACCUGACAGUUUCAUCCUCCACGACUUCCCAUUUCAGCGUCCUCUAGCUUACGACCAGCAAUAGGGAACUGGAGACACAUUCCACACAAGGUAUAUAUGUUUGUUAAACAGUAGGGCUUAACGAUGCAUCGAACUGUCGAUAGAUUGCAAUUGUUGAGUGUCCGAUAGCAAUUAGUCGUUGAUGGUAACGAAAAUUUAUCGAUGUAUCGAUAGUGUGCGUGACUAUCGAUAAUUGUGUGAUUGACGUCCGUUGAUAAAUGCGCAGCUUAAAUACAGGAUGUUUGGGUGUAGACUUGCAGCUUCAUUGAGUUUAGGU